This 437-nucleotide unclassified non-coding RNA is filed under the name uncultured Thelephoraceae. RNAcentral's name for it is "sequence contains ITS2". The stretch from base 1 to 155 matches the Rfam family "5.8S ribosomal RNA". Lineage: Eukaryota; Fungi; Basidiomycota; Agaricomycetes; Thelephorales; Thelephoraceae. The record is from RNAcentral.
AACUUUUGACAAUGGAUCACUUGGCUCUCGCAUCGAUGAAGAACGCAGCGAAAAGCGAUAAGUAAUGUGAAUUGCAGAAUUCAGUGAAUCAUCGAAUCUUUGAACGCACCUUCGGCCCUUUGGCUAUUCCGAAGGGCAUGCCUGUUUGAGUAGCAUGAACAGCUCAACACUCACGGUUCCUCGUGAUGGGCUUGGACUUGGGGGCUUUGUUGGCCUGUGGUCAGAUCUCCUCAAAUAACUCAGCUCGCCAGCGUCUGGCGGCAUCAUGGGUGUGAUAACCAUCUACGCUUGUGAUCGCCUGCGAGGUAAACCUCUGGUAUGCAGAGGUUCGCUGGAGCUUAUAGAUGUCUCUCCUCUGUGAAGACAGCUUUCUGAAGUUCGAUCUCAAAUCAGGUAGGACUACCCGCUGAACUUAAGCAUAUCAAUAAGCGGAGGCU